ACUGCUCAGUAACACGUGGAUAACCUGCCCUAAGGAAGGGGAUAACCUCGGGAAACUGAGGAUAAUACCCUAUAGGUUACAGACGCUGGAAUGCCCUGUAACCGAAAGUUCCGGCGCCUUAGGAUGGAUCUGCGGCCGAUUAGGUUGUUGUUGGGGUAACGGCCCAACAAGCCGAUAAUCGGUACGGGUUGUGGGAGCAAGAGCCCGGAGUUGGAUUCUGAGACAUGAAUCCAGGCCCUACGGGGCGCAGCAGGCGCGAAAACUUUACAAUGCGGGAAACCGUGAUAAGGGAACCCCGAGUGCCUGUAUAUGCAGGCUGUCCAGGUGUCUAAAAAACACCUGAAGAAAGGGCCGGGCAAGACCGGUGCCAGCCGCCGCGGUAAUACCGGCGGCUCGAGUGGUGGCCACUAUUAUUGGGCUUAAAGCGUCCGUAGCUUGGUUGUUAAGUCUCUUGGGAAAUCUACCGGCUCAACCGGUAGGCGUUCAGGAGAUACUGGCAAUCUAGGGACCGGGAGAGGUGAAAGGUACUCCAGGGGUAGGAGUGAAAUCCUGUAAUCCUUGGGGGACCACCUGUGGCGAAGGCGUCUCACUAGAACGGCUCCGACAGUGAGGGACGAAAGCUGGGGGAGCAAACCGGAUUAGAUACCCGGGUAGUCCCAGCUGUAAACGAUGCGCGUUAGGUGUAUCGGUGACCACGAGUCACCGAGGUGCCGAAGGGAAACCGUGAAACGUGCCGCCUGGGAAGUACGGUCGCAAGGCUGAAACUUAAAGGAAUUGGCGGGGGAGCAC
Molecule: ribosomal RNA, 789 nt
Filed under: Methanoculleus sp. enrichment culture clone HA_38
Lineage: Archaea; Methanobacteriati; Methanobacteriota; Methanomicrobia; Methanomicrobiales; Methanomicrobiaceae
Description: bacterial SSU rRNA
Rfam family: Archaeal small subunit ribosomal RNA
Source: RNAcentral